RNAcentral lists this ribosomal RNA (828 nucleotides) under Escherichia coli. Its description in RNAcentral is "partial 23S ribosomal RNA". It matches the Rfam family "Bacterial large subunit ribosomal RNA", at positions 711 to 1540 of the family's 2925-position model. Lineage: Bacteria; Pseudomonadati; Pseudomonadota; Gammaproteobacteria; Enterobacterales; Enterobacteriaceae. The record is from RNAcentral.
AGACCCGAAACCCGGUGAUCUAGCCAUGGGCAGGUUGAAGGUUGGGUAACACUAACUGGAGGACCGAACCGACUAAUGUUGAAAAAUUAGCGGAUGACUUGUGGCUGGGGGUGAAAGGCCAAUCAAACCGGGAGAUAGCUGGUUCUCCCCGAAAGCUAUUUAGGUAGCGCCUCGUGAAUUCAUCUCCGGGGGUAGAGCACUGUUUCGGCAAGGGGGUCAUCCCGACUUACCAACCCGAUGCAAACUGCGAAUACCGGAGAAUGUUAUCACGGGAGACACACGGCGGGUGCUAACGUCCGUCGUGAAGAGGGAAACAACCCAGACCGCCAGCUAAGGUCCCAAAGUCAUGGUUAAGUGGGAAACGAUGUGGGAAGGCCCAGACAGCCAGGAUGUUGGCUUAGAAGCAGCCAUCAUUUAAAGAAAGCGUAAUAGCUCACUGGUCGAGUCGGCCUGCGCGGAAGAUGUAACGGGGCUAAACCAUGCACCGAAGCUGCGGCAGCGACACUGUGUGUUGUUGGGUAGGGGAGCGUUCUGUAAGCCUGUGAAGGUGUGCUGUGAGGCAUGCUGGAGGUAUCAGAAGUGCGAAUGCUGACAUAAGUAACGAUAAAGCGGGUGAAAAGCCCGCUCGCCGGAAGACCAAGGGUUCCUGUCCAACGUUAAUCGGGGCAGGGUGAGUCGACCCCUAAGGCGAGGCCGAAAGGCGUAGUCGAUGGGAAACAGGUUAAUAUUCCUGUACUUGGUGUUACUGCGAAGGGGGGACGGAGAAGGCUAUGUUGGCCGGGCGACGGUUGUCCCGGUUUAAGCGUGUAGGCUGGUUUUCCAGGCAAA